GUUGUCAAAAGGUUUGUUAUGUGGUUGUCAGGGUGUUGCUGUGUGGUUGUCAAAGAGAUGCUAUGCGGUUUUCAAGGUGUUUCUAUGCUGUUGUCAGGGUGUUGCAAUGCUGUUGUCAAGGUGAUGCUGUGCAGUUGUCAGGGUGUUGCAAUGCUGUUGUCAAGGUAUUGCUGUGCGGUUGUCAGGGUGUUGCGAUUCUGUUGUCAGGGUGCUGCUCUACGGUUAUCAAGGUGUUGCUAUGUGGUUUACAAGGUUAGGGUUAGGGUUAGAGUUUAAAACCAUGUGUGGGUGUCAAGGUGUUGCUAUCCGGUUGUCAAGGUGUUGCUGUGCUGUUCUCAGGAUGUUACUUUUUCGGGUGUCAAGGUGUUGCUGUGCGGUCAUCAGGGUGUUGCGAUGCUGUUGUCAAGGUGGUGCUGUGCAGUUGUAGGGUGUUGCGAUGCUGUUGUCAAGGUGUUGCUGUGCAGUUGUCAGGGUAUUGCGAUGCUGUUGUCAAGGUGUUGCUGUGCAGUUGUUAGGGUGUUGCAAUGCUGUUGUCAAGAUAUUGCUGUGCGGUUGUCAGGGUGUUGCAAUGCUGUUGUCAAGGUGUUGCUGUGCGGUCAUUAGGGUGUUGCAAUGCUGUUGUCAAGGUAUUGCUGUGCGGUUGUCAGGGUGUUGCGAUUCUGUUGUCAGGGUGCUGCUCUACGGUUAUCAAGGUGUUGCUAUGUGGUUAACAAGGUUAGGGUUAGGGUUUGAGUUUAAAACCAUGUGUGGGUGUCAAGGUGUUGCUAUCCGGUUGUCAAGGUGUUGCUGUACUGUUCUCAGGAUGAUACUUUUUCGGGUGUCAAGGUGUUGCUGUGCGGUUUUCAGGGUGUUGCAAUGCUGUUGUCAAGGUAUUGCUGUGCAGUUGUUAGGGUGUUGCGAUACUGUUGUCAAGGUGUUGCUGUGCGGUUGUUAGGGUGUUGCGAUGCUGUUGUCAAGGUGUUGCGAUGCAGUUGUUAUGGUGUUGCGAUACUGUUGUCAAGGUGUUGCUGUGCGGUUGUUAGGGUGUUGCGAUGCUGUUGUCAAGGUGUUGCGAUGCAGUUGUUAGGGUGUUGCGAUGCUGUUGUCAAGGUGUUCAAAUUGAGAAACACUGAAGACUGUCAAAGGCUGUGAGGCUGAAGGGUGGUUGUAAAGAAUUUUUGUUAUUGUACAGUGUGUCUGUAACAGGCAGUUACUGUAUAUUUUGUGUGUCCGAUGUGUCUGAUUGUGUCAUUCGUGUCUGUUGAGGGUGUGACUCUCAGAACUGUUGCGUGAGACUCACACUGUUCAGACUCACAGAUGGCUUCAGUUCUUCAUGUGAGCAUGCACAGCUGCAGACGAGCCACCCGCUGCUUCACGUCCCCAUUCCUCCGUCUGUCUUCUCCAGAACCUGAAUUACAAAUAAUUCAUUAACAAUUUCAUUCUUUAGAAAAAAACAUCUUUUUAUGCAAAUAGA
Cyprinus carpio carpio is the source of this 1453-nucleotide long non-coding RNA. The record is from Ensembl. Lineage: Eukaryota; Metazoa; Chordata; Actinopteri; Cypriniformes; Cyprinidae.